This 274-nucleotide long non-coding RNA is filed under the name Trifolium pratense (red clover). RNAcentral's name for it is "long non-coding RNA (TPRA_LNC006584)". Lineage: Eukaryota; Viridiplantae; Streptophyta; Magnoliopsida; Fabales; Fabaceae. The record is from RNAcentral.
AAGUUUUUACAUAUAAAGGGCAUAAUAAGAUUAGAUUUUGGCACAGUUAAAGUUUUCGUUUAUUAUCCGAUACAAUAGUUUAUAUUUUACAUCUCCCUCUAUUUUAUCUCUUGCUGCUUUUUCAACUUAUUUACUGAGUAUGAUAAUGAUAGUUAUGACAGAGAGUCCUAUCAGAUAAUAUGAAAUAAUUAUUGAGUCACUGAGAUUAGAAAGAAGAAAUUGAUCAGGGCAGUUGAUAUGAAUUCAUACAUAAACCAUAUGAUAAUUUCAUGAC